Molecule: ribosomal RNA, 119 nt
Filed under: Pteropus alecto (black flying fox)
Lineage: Eukaryota; Metazoa; Chordata; Mammalia; Chiroptera; Pteropodidae
Source: RNAcentral
GUCUAUGGCCAUGCCACCCUGAAUAAGCCCGAUCCUGUCUGAUCUCGGAAGCUAAGCAGGGUCGGGCCUGGUUAGUACUUGGAUGGGAGACCACAUAGGAAGACCAGGUGCUGUAGGUG